UCCGGCUUCAAACACCGGCAGUUUCCUUAGAGUGCCCGGCAUUACCCGAUGGUAACUAAGGAUGAGGGUUGCGCUCGUUGCGGGACUUAACCCAACAUCUCACGACACGAGCUGACGACAGCCGUGCAACACCUGUCACUGAUCCAGCCGAACUGAAGGAAAACAUUUCUGUAAUCCGCGAUCAGGAUGUCAAAGGGUGGUAAGGUUUUUCGCGUUGCAUCGAAUUAAACCACAUGCUCCACUGCUUGUGCGGGUCCCCGUCAAUUCCUUUGAGUUUUAAUCUUGCGACCGUACUCCCCAGGCGGGGUGCUUAACGCGUUAGCUACGACACUGAAACUAAAAGUCCCAAUAUCUAGCACCCAUCGUUUACGGCGUGGACUAC
RNAcentral lists this unclassified non-coding RNA (382 nucleotides) under uncultured Rickettsiales bacterium. RNAcentral's name for it is "contains 16S-23S intergenic spacer region". Lineage: Bacteria; Pseudomonadati; Pseudomonadota; Alphaproteobacteria; Rickettsiales. The record is from RNAcentral.